CCUACGGGUUGCACCAGUGGGGAAUAUUGCACAAUGGGCGCAAGCCUGAUGCAGCCAUGCCGCGUGUAUGAAGAAGGCCUCCGGGUUGUAAAGUACUUUCAGCGGGGAGGAAGGUGCUGUGGUUAAUAACCACAGCAAUUGACGUUACCCGCAGAAGAAGCACCGGCUAACUCCGUGCCAGCAGCCGCAGUAAUACGGAGGGUGCAAGCGUUAAUCGGAAUUACUGGGCGUAAAGCGCACGCAGGCGGUCUGUCAAGUCGGAUGUGAAAUCCCCGGGCUCAACCUGGGAACUGCAUUCGAAACUGGCAGGCUAGAGUCUUGUAGAGGGGGGUAGAACUCCAGGUGUAGCGGUGAAAUGCGUAGAGAUCUGGAGGAAUACCGGUGGCGAAGGCGGCCCCCUGGACAAAGACUGACGCUCAGGUGCGAAAGCGUGGGGAGCAAACAGGGUUAGAUACCCUCGUAGUC
Molecule: ribosomal RNA, 465 nt
Filed under: uncultured bacterium
Lineage: Bacteria
Description: bacterial SSU rRNA
Rfam family: Bacterial small subunit ribosomal RNA
Source: RNAcentral